GUGGGGAAUCUUCCGCAAUGGACGAAAGUCUGACGGAGCAACGCCGCGUGAGUGAUGAAGGUCUUCGGAUUGUAAAGCUCUGUUAAUCGGGACGAAAGAGCCUAGUGUGAAUAAUGCUAGGAAGUGACGGUACCGGAAUAGAAAGCCACGGCUAACUACGUGCCAGCAGCCGCGGUAAUACGUAGGUGGCAAGCGUUGUCCGGAAUUAUUGGGCGUAAAGCGCGCGCAGGCGGAUCUGCCAGUCUGUCUUAAAAGUUCGAGGCUUAACCCCGUGAUGGGAUGGAAACUACAGAUCUAGAGUAUCGGAGAGGAAAGUGGAAUUCCUAGUGUAGCGGUGAAAUGCGUAGAUAUUAGGAAGAACACCAGUGGCGAAGGCGACUUUCUGGACGAAAACUGACGCUGAGGCGCGAAAGCCAGGGGAGCGAACGGGAUUAGAUACCCGUGUAGUCC
Molecule: ribosomal RNA, 450 nt
Filed under: uncultured bacterium
Lineage: Bacteria
Description: partial 16S ribosomal RNA
Rfam family: Bacterial small subunit ribosomal RNA
Source: RNAcentral